RNAcentral lists this long non-coding RNA (71 nucleotides) under Octodon degus (degu). RNAcentral describes it as "H19 conserved region 1 (ENSODEG00000024729.1)". It matches the Rfam family "H19 conserved region 1". Lineage: Eukaryota; Metazoa; Chordata; Mammalia; Rodentia; Octodontidae. The record is from RNAcentral.
GAGGCACCGAUCAAUGCUCCGUCAUCACCUGCAAGGCCCACCGUGGCCACAGGCUCUGGAGGCCAGUGUCU